GCGGAGGUCGAGUGGCUCUA
Molecule: non-coding RNA, 20 nt
Filed under: Arabidopsis thaliana (thale cress)
Lineage: Eukaryota; Viridiplantae; Streptophyta; Magnoliopsida; Brassicales; Brassicaceae
Source: RNAcentral